AUAUUGGUCAAUGGGCGGGAGCCUGAACCAGCCAAGUCGCGUGAGGGAGUAAGGCCCUACGGGUCGUAAACCUCUUUUGCCGGGGAGCAGGGCGGCGGACGUGUCCGCCGUUUGAGAGUACCCGGAGAAAAAGCAUCGGCUAACUCCGUGCCAGCAGCCGCGGUAAUACGGAGGAUGCGAGCGUUAUCCGGAUUUAUUGGGUUUAAAGGGUGCGUAGGCGGGCUUUUAAGUCAGCGGUAAAAAUUCGGGGCUCAACCCCGGCCUGCCGUUGAAACUGGCGGCCUCGAGUGGGCGAGAAGUAUGCGGAAUGCGUGGUGUAGCGGUGAAAUGCAUAGAUAUCACGCAGAACUCCGAUUGCGAAGGCAGCAUACCGGCGCCCUACUGACGCUGAGGCACGAAAGCGUGGGUAUCGAACAGG
This 418-nucleotide ribosomal RNA is filed under the name uncultured bacterium. RNAcentral describes it as "bacterial SSU rRNA". It matches the Rfam family "Bacterial small subunit ribosomal RNA", at positions 361 to 776 of the family's 1533-position model. The record is from RNAcentral.